UUUCCGUCCAAUGUAUUCAGCAAUCUGACCACUUGCAAUUGCUCCAACCAUAGCACCCACAUUGGAUAGAGAGCCAAACACAGAGUACUAAACAUCAAACAUGAAACCUAAAAGUCAGAAACUUAUUGAACAAAUAGUCUUUAAAAAAAAACAGAAGAGUUCAUAAAUGAAGAUGGGACCUUUAUACCUCUGAUACAGUUAAACCAAGAUCCUUAGUAAUGGCAGCUUGAGUUGGUGAGGAAUAACCACACUGAAAACAAAAAGAUAAAUCAAAAAUCAGAACUUUCUCAAUAGUCAAUUGAGCAAAAGCAGAAAAAAUCCACAUUGAUCAAUUUAAGAAAGUUGAGAUUUUUUGUUAUGUUCUUCUUACAGUGAAUCCGAAUUGAAUAGGACCAAGAGCAACAAUCAAAACACAAGCUAAGACAGAAAUUGAGCUGUCUCGAAUAACUUGAGACGAUUCCAACAUACUAGAUUGUCUCGAACCCAUCCGAUACCAACUUCCGGUGUGUAAGAACGGUCGCCGAAGAUCAUUUCUUCCCUCUUCCGUAUCAUCCCUAAAACUCAUCUUUUUAUCGCUAAAUCUACAAAACAAUCGUAAUCUACAGAAAAAGACGAAUCCUUUCUGAGGCAAAAGAAAAGGGUCUGA
RNAcentral lists this long non-coding RNA (646 nucleotides) under Arabidopsis lyrata. Its description in RNAcentral is "long non-coding RNA (ALYR_LNC003036)". Lineage: Eukaryota; Viridiplantae; Streptophyta; Magnoliopsida; Brassicales; Brassicaceae. The record is from RNAcentral.